This 497-nucleotide ribosomal RNA is filed under the name uncultured bacterium. RNAcentral describes it as "partial 16S ribosomal RNA". It matches the Rfam family "Bacterial small subunit ribosomal RNA", at positions 28 to 507 of the family's 1533-position model. The record is from RNAcentral.
GAUGAACGCUGGCGGCGUGCCUAAUACAUGCAAGUCGAGCGAACAGACGCGGAGCUUGUUCCUUUGACGUUAGCGGAGGACGGGUGAGUCACACGUGGAAACCCUCCCUAUAUGACUGGGAACAUUUCGGGACACCGGCGCUAAUCCCGGAUAAUCUACUGCACCGUAUGGUUGGAUAGUGAAAGACGGUUUUGCUGUCUGUUAUCGAUGGUUCCGCGCUGCAUUAGCUAGUUGGUAAGGUAAAGGGUUACCAAGGCAACGAUGCGUAACCGAGCUGCGAGGGUGAUCGGCCACACUGGAACUGAGACACGGUCCAGACUCCUACGGGAGGCAGCAGUAGGGAAUCUUCGGCAAUGGGCGAAAGCCUGACAGAGCAACCCCGCGUGAGUGAUGAAGGUCUUCGGUUCGUAAAACUCUGUUAUUAGGGAAGAACAAAUGUGUAAUUAACUAUGGACGGCGUGACGGUACCUAAUCAGAAAGCCACGGCUAACUACGUG